Molecule: ribosomal RNA, 338 nt
Filed under: uncultured Pseudomonadota bacterium
Lineage: Bacteria; Pseudomonadati; Pseudomonadota
Description: bacterial SSU rRNA
Rfam family: Bacterial small subunit ribosomal RNA
Source: RNAcentral
AACAAACGCUGGCGGCGUGCCUAACACAUGCAAGUCGUACGUGAAAUCUGCUUCGGUGGAUGAGUAAAGUGGCGCACGGGUGAGUAACGCGUGGAUAAUCUGCCCUUUAGUCGGGAAUAACUCAUCGAAAGGUGGGCUAAUACCGGAUGAUGCUGUUGUUGCUUCGGUGAUACAGCCAAAGGGGGCCUCUAUUUAUAAGCUCUUGCUGAAGGAUGAGUCCGCGUACCAUUAGCUAGUUGGCAGGGUAAAGCCUACCAAGGCAACGAUGGUUAGCUGGUCUGAGAGGAUGAUCAGCCACACUGGAACUGAGACACGGUCCAGACUCCUACGGGUGGCAG